RNAcentral lists this ribosomal RNA (420 nucleotides) under Chloroflexota bacterium. Its description in RNAcentral is "Chloroflexi bacterium partial 16S ribosomal RNA". It matches the Rfam family "Bacterial small subunit ribosomal RNA", at positions 355 to 776 of the family's 1533-position model. The record is from RNAcentral. Lineage: Bacteria; Bacillati; Chloroflexota.
UGGGGGAUAUUGCACAAUGGGCGAAAGCCUGAUGCAGCGACGCCGCGUGGGGGAUGAAGGCUUUCGGGUUGUAAACCUCUUUCGCUAUCGAACAAGGCCCGCUUAGGGUGGGUUGAGGGUAGGUGGAGAAGAAGCGCCGGCUAACUACGUGCCAGCAGCCGCGGUAAUACGUAGGGCGCGAGCGUUGUCCGGAAUUAUUGGGCGUAAAGGGCUUGUAGGCGGCUUGUUGCGCCUGCUGUGAAAACGCGGGGCUUAACUUCGCGCGUGCAGUGGGUACGGGCAGGCUUGAGUGUGGUAGGGGUGACUGGAAUUCCAGGUGUAGCGGUGGAAUGCGUAGAGAUCUGGAGGAAUACCGGUGGCGAAGGCGGCCCCCUGGACGAAGACUGACGCUCAGGUGCGAAAGCGUGGGGAGCAAACAGG